UGAGGCACACAGCUCAGUAGCACGUGGCCAACCUGCCCUUGGGACCGGAACACCUUGGGAAACUGGGGCUAAUUCCCGAUAGGUGAAGAUCCUGGAAUGGGUUUCGCCGAAAAGACGUUUAUGGCAUGCUCCUAAGCGUUGCCUAAGGAUGAGGCCGCGGCCGAUCAGGUUGUUGGUGAGGUAAUGGCUCACCAAGCCUUUAACCGGUUCGGGCCGUGGGAGCGGUAUUCCGGAGAUGGGCACUGAGACAAGGGCCCUUUCCCUACGGGGCGCAGCAGUCGCGAAAACUUCGCACUAAGCGAAAGCUUGACGGGGACAUCCCGAGUGCCAUCUGCUGAGGAUGGCUUUUACCCAGUGUAGAUAGCUGGGGGAAUAAGGAGAGGGCAAGUCUGGUGUCAGCCGCCGCGGUAAUACCAGCUCUCCGAGUUGUGGGGACGUUUAUUGAGCCUAAAGCAUCCGUAGCCGGCUGGGCAAGUCCUCUGUUAAAUCCAGCGACAAAUCGUUGGCCUGCGGGAAAUACUGCUCGGCUAGGGGGCGGGAGAGACAAUCGGUAUUCUUGGGGUAGGGGUGAAAUCCUAUAAUCCCAGGAGGACCACCAGUGGCGAAGGCUGUCGGCUAGAACGCGCCCGACGGUGAGGGAUGAAAGCUGGGGGAGCGAACCGGAUUAGAUACCCGGGUAGUCCCAGCUGUAAACGAUGCAAGCUAGGUGUUAGAGCGGCUACGUGCCGCGCUAGUGCCGCAGGGAAGCUGUUAAGCCUGCCGCUUGGGGAGUUAGCCGCAAGGCUGAACUUA
RNAcentral lists this ribosomal RNA (792 nucleotides) under uncultured soil archaeon. Its description in RNAcentral is "bacterial SSU rRNA". It matches the Rfam family "Archaeal small subunit ribosomal RNA", at positions 77 to 858 of the family's 1478-position model. The record is from RNAcentral.